GAGGAAAGAGGGAGGCGUGCCUAAUACAUGCAAGUCGAGCGAACAGAUGAGGAGCUUGCUCCUCUGACGUUAGCGGCGGACGGGUGAGUAACACGUGGAUAACCUACCUAUAAGACUGGGAUAACUUCGGGAAACCGGAGCUAAUACCGGAUAAUAUAUUGAACCGCAUGGUUCAAUAGUGAAAGACGGUUUUGCUGUCACUUAUAGAUGGAUCCGCGCCGCAUUAGCUAGUUGGUAAGGUAACGGCUUACCAAGGCAACGAUGCGUAGCCGACCUGAGAGGGUGAUCGGCCACACUGGAACUGAGACACGGUCCAGACUCCUACGGGAGGCAGCAGUAGGGAAUCUUCCGCAAUGGGCGAAAGCCUGACGGAGCAACGCCGCGUGAGUGAUGAAGGUCUUCGGAUCGUAAAACUCUGUUAUUAGGGAAGAACAAAUGUGUAAGUAACUAUGCACAUCUUGACGGUACCUAAUCAGAAAGCCACGGCUAACUACGUG
This 497-nucleotide ribosomal RNA is filed under the name uncultured bacterium. Its description in RNAcentral is "partial 16S ribosomal RNA". It matches the Rfam family "Bacterial small subunit ribosomal RNA", at positions 28 to 507 of the family's 1533-position model. The record is from RNAcentral.